This is a long non-coding RNA of Mirounga angustirostris (Northern elephant seal), 3864 nucleotides long. RefSeq lists it as uncharacterized. NCBI's taxonomy places the organism in Eukaryota, Metazoa, Chordata, Mammalia, Carnivora, Phocidae. The transcript has 4 exons. The record is from RefSeq and is a predicted model, not a curated record.
CUAAAGUCACCAUCCAGGGACGCCUGGGUGGCUUAGUCGUUAAGCGUCUGCUUUCGGCUCAGGUCAUGAUCCCAGGGUCCUGGGAUCGAGCCCCACAUCAGGCUCCCUGCUCUGCGGGAAGCCUGCUUCUCCCUCUCCCACUCCCCCUGCUUGUGUUCCCUCUCUCGCUGUGUCUCUCUCUGUCAAAUAAAUAAAUAAAAUCUUUUAAAUAAAUAAAUAAAGUCACCAUCCCUUGCCAAGAUGAUUGCAUAGUGAUUGAGACACAGGUUAAAAGAAAAUAAAUUGUAACUUAAGACUGAGCCAUUGUAAGUGGGCUAAAAUUUGUAGAACUCUUAGCACAGUGCCUGGCACCUAGUAAACACAAUUUAAAUGUUUCGUAAAUAAAGAAAAUAUAGCCAGGUGGGUGUGGGAGGAGACCUAGUUAGAAGCAACCAUGCUGGGGUGCCAAUUGAACUUCUUUUCACAUCCUCCCCCCACAACUGGACUUAGAAAAACCAUUUCAGGGCGCCUGGGUGGCUCAGUUGGUUGAGCGACUGCCUUCGGCUCAGGUCAUGAUCCUGGAGUCCCUGGAUCGAGUCCCGCAUCGGGCUCCCUGCUCGGCGGGGAGCCUGCUUCUGCCUCUGACCCUCCCCCCUCUCAUGUGCUCUCUCUCUCUCUCAUUCUCUCUGUCUCAAAUAAAUAAAUAAAUCUUUAAAAAAAAAAAAAAGAAAAACCAUUUCAUUGCUGAACCUCAGUUUCCUGUCUGUUAAGUAAAAAUUACAACAAUAACUAACUCAAGAGGAUUGUUUUAAGAGCCAAAGAGACAGUGAGAUAUUAGGGAUGAAAAUAUGUCAUUUAUAAGCUAUAAAGCACUGUAAAAACAUCAUUACUAUUUCUAAUAUCCCAAUUCGGAAUUACAAGCGAAAGGACCGGAGAGAUGUCCUGAGGCAGAGAAUCAGAUUUCUGGCACCGGUGUCCAGGAUUGUCUGCCCUUCUCCCAACCCCCUCCCUGGCACAGACCCACCCCUAUCUGCAGGCCCAGCCAAGUAGGGAGUAGAGGAGGGCCCCCAGUACCCAGAAUUGGAACACAGAGUGCUCUCUCUCCCUCGCUUGCAGAAUCAAGGCUGUACAGUUCUUUUUUUUUUUUUUUAAGAUUUUAUUUAUUUAUUUAUUGGAGAGCGAGCGAGAGAGAAACAGCAUGAGAGAGGAGAGGGUCAGAGGGAGAAGCAGGCUCCCCGCUGAGCGGGGAGCCCGAUGUGGGACUCGAUCCCAGGACCCUGGGAUCAUGACCUGAGCCGAAGGCAGUCGCCCAACCAGCUGAGCCACCCAGGCGCCCAAGGCUGUACAGAGUUCUUGAGUUAAGUGAGCACAUCUAGUGUGCCAGAUUGUCUGCAUUCGGGAUUAGACAGACUUUUGGGGACUGCCCUGAGAACCUGAUGACCCAACGUAACCUCAUUUCUCUGCACACUGGCAUUGUGAGUUUUACACAACUGGCUUUAUAAACACACUUUGGAAUACAGAGCCGACUCUAACAGUGGGGACUGCUUGUAUAGAGCCAAAUGGAACAGCUUGAACUAUGGAUUCAAUCCAGGGAGAAAACCAAAGUGACUCAACAAGAAUACAUGAAAGAUAAGAUUCCAGGGAUGCCGUGUGUAGGAAUCAGCUGCCACGAGGAGUAAAAAGCAAUAUAAAACCAGCAAGGAAAGGUGCAACCAAAAGCAAGCUCCACACCCAGCAUGGAGCCCAACAUGGGGCUCAAACCCACGACCCUGAAAUCAAGACCUGAGCUGAGAUGGAGUCAGACGCUUAACCGACUGAGCCACCCAGGUGCCCCUAAUGUGAGAAAUUAAUUGACAUCAGCUAUUAUUUUCUUUUCAUUCCCUGUAACUCUAGCAGAUUUAUUUUAAAGUAUACCCAACAUGGGGCUCAAACCCGCAAUCCCAAGAUGAGUUGCAUGCUCUACCGACUGAGCCAGCCAGAUGCUCUAAGAAGAUAUCAUUUUCUCUAAUUUGAAGAACAGAAAAAUCGUGGGAAAGGACAAUGGCAUGCUCAAAGCAGAUUUAGCCAAAGAGAUUUUAAUCUACCUGCAACUGUGUUCUCACGACAGGUCACUCUAAAGCCCUCCCUUCUCAUAUCCCUUUUUCUCUCGACUGAUGGAGAAGAGAAGAGCCCAGUCCUCUUGACAGUGUUCCAGUUGUCUGUCUCUCAUAUCUCCAAAUAUUUGGGAUAUUUGGGACAGCAGAGACUAUACUGUUUCAGCUCAGCCACUGACUUGUUGGAUGAGUAUUUAAAAUUAAGGCUGCUCAGCCCUAAGGUAGGGAAAGGCUACAGCCACGGGACUUGAGCCAAAUCUCUAAAAACAUCAUUCUGAAAUAGGUGGAGAAAUACAAACUCGAUGAGAAUGGAUAUGAUCUGCCACACCAGAGUUCUGAUUGAUUGGAUCCAUGUGAAUCCAGAGGACAGACUCUACUCAGGCUCAGUCCUGGUCAAAAUUUUGCCCAUGACUUGAAUGAGUACAACAGUAACGACCUGAUGAAUCUGCAGCUGACCUGAAGCCAGAGGAGACAGUGAGUAGAGAGGAUAUCAGAAUCAGAAUCCAAAGAGAGCUCAACAGGCUGGAGCAACGGGGAUAAUCCGGCAACAUGAAAGUUGACAGGGGGAAAAAGCCAAGUACACAGGUACUAGGUGAGAAGAUGGGCAUCUUGUAGCAUAUACGUAAAGGACUUAAGACUAGGUUAAUGUACAAGAACAGAGAGAUGUGCUAAGAUGAUUAAAGGCUGUAAUUAUAGAAGCAUAACGGCAACAGUAAGGGAGGUGAUUGACCUGAUCCACUUUAUACUAGUGUGGCCACAUCUACAAAUUUACUUCUCAGAUUCUAGGCACACCCUGUUGUUUUUUUUUUUCAAGAUUUUAUUCAUUUAUUUGACAGAGAGAGACACAGUGAGAGAGGGAACACAAGCAGGGGGAGUGGGAGAGGGAGAAGCAGGCCCUCCGCGGAGCAGGAAGCCCGAUGCGGGGCUCGAUCCCAGGACCCUGGGACCAUGACCUGAGCCGAAGGCAGAUGUUUAACGACUGAGCCACCCAGGUGCCCCUCUAGGCACACCCUGUAAGAAAACAAAUAUUAAGAUACAUACAGGACAGUAAAAGCACUUGAAAUCAUGUCUUAAAAGGAAUGGUCAAAGGAAUUCAGUAUUUUACCUAGAAUCAGAGAUUUUUAUCUAAAAGAAAAACAUUGAUGGUGAAAUGAUUUCUGUCUUGAAAUAUCAGGAGCUCUGACAUGCCAAUCUGGAAUGAAGCUGGGCCAUUUGGCAGGGACAUUUUGGGAGGAAGGCAUCCCUCAGAGAAUGAUAGAAUAGAUGAUGCCCUAGGUCCCUUCCAGUUCAAAGAGGCUGUGGCCUUGUCCUUCUGGCACGUCACAGGACCCCUAUGUGUCUUAUUUCCUCAUGUAUAAAAUGAUCUCUGAGGAUAACUCUGAUCUCCAAGCUCUUUUUCUGCUUGAACAGACUGUAUUUCUGUAGCUCUUUUUCUUUGAAUUUUCCCACAAGGCUGGGUACAGAUGGGAGUUAAUACAUACUUAUUUCCAGUUUACCUCGUUCCAUUAAAUGAGAGCAAUGGGAAGCUCCAAGGAAGGCUACAUGAAGAGAGAGAACCUGCUGUUACAGUUGAAUUGUGUCCCUCCAAAAUUCAUAUGCUGAAUUCCUAACCCCCCAGUACCUCAGAAUGUCUCAGAAUGUGACUGUAUUUGGAGAUAGGGUCUUAAAAGACCCUAAUUAAGUUAGAAUAGGUUAUAUGAGUGGGCCUAAUCCAAUACAAAUGGUGUCCUUAUUAAAAGAGAAAAUUAGGGGGGCACCUGGGUGGCUCAGUUGGUUAGGCGACUGCCUUCGG